Molecule: ribosomal RNA, 253 nt
Filed under: uncultured bacterium
Lineage: Bacteria
Description: partial 16S ribosomal RNA
Rfam family: Bacterial small subunit ribosomal RNA
Source: RNAcentral
UACGAAGGGUGCGAGCGUUGUUCGGAAUUACUGGGCGUAAAGGGUUUGUAGGCUGAAAUAUAAGUCAAGUGUGAAAUCCCCGAGCUAAACUUGGGACGUGCAUUUGAAACUGUGUUUCUUGAGUAUCGUAGAGGGUGGUGGAAUUGUAGGUGUAGGAGUGACAUCCGUAGAGAUCUGCAGGAACAUCAGAGGCGAAGGCGACCACCUGGCCGAUGACUGACGCUGAGGAACGAAAGCGUGGGGAGCAAACAGG